GCGCCCGUAGUUCAGAUGGAAGAACGCCGGGUUGCGGACCCGGAGGUCGCGGGUUCGAGUCCCGCCGGGCGUACCA
RNAcentral lists this transfer RNA (76 nucleotides) under Candidatus Calescibacterium sp. RNAcentral's name for it is "tRNA-Arg". It matches the Rfam family "tRNA". From Rfam's summary of the family: Transfer RNA (tRNA) molecules are approximately 80 nucleotides in length. Their secondary structure includes four short double-helical elements and three loops (D, anti-codon, and T loops). Further hydrogen bonds mediate the characteristic L-shaped molecular structure. tRNAs have two regions of fundamental functional importance: the anti-codon, which is responsible for specific mRNA codon recognition, and the 3' end, to which the tRNAs corresponding amino acid is attached (by aminoacyl-tRNA synthetases). tRNAs cope with the degeneracy of the genetic code in two manners: having more than one tRNA (with a specific anti-codon) for a particular amino acid; and 'wobble' base-pairing, i.e. permitting non-standard base-pairing at the 3rd anti-codon position. Lineage: Bacteria; Candidatus Calescibacteriota; Candidatus Calescibacteriales; Candidatus Calescibacteriaceae. The record is from RNAcentral.